CAGGAAUCUGUUUCUGUGUGUGGCACACCCAAAAUGCAUGGCCACUUUUGUGUUAAUCAUUUAAUUUAAUUUAUUUAAUUUGUUUAUCAGUUAUUUUCUGUGGCUAUUAAUAUCCAAAAUGACUUUGACAACAUGACCAACCUAACCAGUGCAUUAUUUUGUCACAUAAACUGUAUAGAAGGUACAAAGAAAUGGAGCAACACCCCAGGUGGAACUAUUAUUCCAAGACAGGUGCAACCCGGUUGCUUUAGGGGGAUGGACUUCCGCCCACGAGUCAGAUGCAAUCUGAAAGGCAAACCGAGUGCACUGUCUUCAUUGCUCCUGAACUUUACCUGUGUUUGCAGGGAUUUCUUCUUUGUUAUUGUGGCACCAUUCCUGGGGCCCGUAACAAAUUGUGGGGGCUCGUCCAGGAUCCACUUCCUGUUGAGUCUUCUAAGGAAGAGGGUCCAGAGAUACUAGAACCAGAAAGUCAACGUGAGAUGGCAUCGCUGUAGCCGAGACGACAGCUGGUGGGUGUCCACAAAGAGAAGUCAAGAUCUGUACGAGGGUCUUCACUCCACCAACGGAACUGCACCUCUGUGUCUCAUUAGUCGAAGCUCAUCAUGGCAGCAGCGCGCAAGGAGCUGGUUUGGAGCAUCAAAAAGAACUUGUAUAAGCUUUCAGGUGCAGAAGCCUAUCAGCUCGCAAGGGAC
Astatotilapia calliptera (eastern happy) is the source of this 692-nucleotide long non-coding RNA. The record is from Ensembl. Lineage: Eukaryota; Metazoa; Chordata; Actinopteri; Cichliformes; Cichlidae.